GACGAACGCUGGCGGCGUGCUUAACACAUGCAAGUCGUACGACAGCAUUCCUUUUGGGGUGUUUGGAGUGGCGAACGGGUGAGUAACACGUGAGUAACCUGCCCUCUUCUUUGGGAUAACGUGCGGAAACGUGCGCUAAUACUGAAUAUUCUUAUUCUGCUGCAUGGUGGGGUGGGGAAAGGACUGUGGGGUCUUUGGGGGCUUUGUGGUUUGGUGGGGGAUGGGCUCGCGGCCUAUCAGCUUUGUUGGUGGGGUGAUGGCCUACCAAGGCGU
Molecule: ribosomal RNA, 273 nt
Filed under: uncultured Actinomycetes bacterium
Lineage: Bacteria; Bacillati; Actinomycetota; Actinomycetes
Description: uncultured actinobacterium partial 16S ribosomal RNA
Rfam family: Bacterial small subunit ribosomal RNA
Source: RNAcentral